RNAcentral lists this long non-coding RNA (369 nucleotides) under Astyanax mexicanus (Mexican tetra). Its description in RNAcentral is "lncRNA (ENSAMXG00005001483.1)". The record is from RNAcentral. Lineage: Eukaryota; Metazoa; Chordata; Actinopteri; Characiformes; Acestrorhamphidae.
AAGCAUCUUCCCUUUCACACACUCCUCUAGUCUUCCGUCACAUCUGUUCUGUUGUUUGCUCCCAUCUUCUUAUCAGUGUGUGUGUGUGCACGUGUGUGUGUGAUCAUGCCCAGAAAUCAAACUACAGCUACAACUGACCAAGGGAAUCAACUCCACACCAACUUAACACAAGUGACCCACGGCAUUCGGACAUCAGGUACGUGUGUGUGUGUGUGCAUUGGAGGACUCAAUUGGUGGACUCAAGGGGGGACAGGGUGGGCAACCACUUCCCUUGGUACCUCAAUGGUUGAAAAGGUGCGGAAAACGUGACCUCUAUUGGCUGCCUUUUAGAGUGCCCCUUCUUGCAAUAAAUUAGGAUGUUGUGUCUCA